ACGGAGGGUGCAAGCGUUAAUCGGAAUUACUGGGCGUAAAGCGCACGCAGGCGGUUUGUUCAGUCCGAUUUGAAAUCCCCGGGCUCAACCUGGGAACUGCAUCUGAUACUGGCAAGCUUGAGUCUCGUAGAGGGGGGUAGAAUUCCAGGUGGAGAGGGGAAAUGCGGAGAGAUCUGGAGGAAGACCGGUGGCGAAGGCGGCACACUGGACGAAGACUGAAGCUCAGGUGCGAAAGCGUGGGGAGCAAACAG
Molecule: ribosomal RNA, 251 nt
Filed under: uncultured prokaryote
Description: partial 16S rRNA
Rfam family: Bacterial small subunit ribosomal RNA
Source: RNAcentral